GACGCUAAAAGCUCGAAAGUGCGGGUAUCGAACAGGAUUAGAUACCCUGGUAGUCCGCACGGUAAACGAUGGAUGCCCGCUGUUUGCGAUAUACUGUGAGCGGCCAAGAGAAAUCGUUAAGCAUCCCACCUGGGGGAGUACGCCGGCAACGGUGAAACUCAAAGGAAUUGACGGGGGCCCGCACAAGCGGAGGAACAUGUGGUUUAAUUCGAUGAUACGCGAGGAACCUUACCCGGGCUUGAACUGCAGCGGAAUGCGGUGGAGACACCAAAGCCCUUCGGGGUCUCUGUGGAGGUGCUGCAUGGUUGUCGUCAGCUCGUGCCGUGAGGUGUCGGCUUAAGUGCCAUAACGAGCGCAACCCUUUUCAUUAGUUGCCAUCAGGUAGAGCUGGGCACUCUGGUGAUACUGCCACCGUAAGGUGUGAGGAAGGUGGGGAUGACGUCAAAUCAGCACGGCCCUUACGUCCGGGGCUACACACGUGUUACAAUGGGUGGUACAGAGAGUUGGUCGUUUGCAAAUGCGAUCUAAUCCUUAAAGCCAUCCUCAGUUCGGAUUGGGGUCUGCAACCCGACCCCAUGAAGCUGGAUUCGCUAGUAAUCGC
This 601-nucleotide ribosomal RNA is filed under the name uncultured bacterium. RNAcentral's name for it is "bacterial SSU rRNA". It matches the Rfam family "Bacterial small subunit ribosomal RNA", at positions 742 to 1345 of the family's 1533-position model. The record is from RNAcentral.